Molecule: ribosomal RNA, 1024 nt
Filed under: uncultured bacterium
Lineage: Bacteria
Description: bacterial SSU rRNA
Rfam family: Bacterial small subunit ribosomal RNA
Source: RNAcentral
CCUGAUUGACCCUUUUCGCCAACGAGUGGCGGACGGGUGAGUAACACGUAGGUAACCUGCCCAGAAGCGGGGGACAACAUUUGGAAACAGAUGCUAAUACCGCAUAACAGCGUUGUUCGCAUGAACAACGCUUAAAAGAUGGCUUCUCGCUAUCACUUCUGGAUGGACCUGCGGUGCAUUAGCUUGUUGGUGGGGUAACGGCCUACCAAGGCGAUGAUGCAUAGCCGAGUUGAGAGACUGAUCGGCCACAAUGGGACUGAGACACGGCCUAUACUCCUACGGGAGGCAGCAGUAGGGAAUCUUCCACAAUGGGCGCAAGCCUGAUGGAGCAACACCGCGUGAGUGAAGAAGGGUUUCGGCUCGUAAAGCUCUGUUGUUAAAGAAGAACACGUAUGAGAGUAACUGUUCAUACGUUGACGGUAUUUAACCAGAAAGUCACGGCUAACUACGUGCCAGCAGCCGCGGUAAUACGUAGGUGGCAAGCGUUAUCCGGAUUUAUUGGGCGUAAAGCGAGCGCAGGCGGUUUGAUAAGUCUGAUGUGAAAGCCUUUGGCUUAACCAAAGAAGUGCAUCGGAAACUGUCAGACUUGAGUGCAGAAGAGGACAGUGGAACUCCAUGUGUAGCGGUGGAAUGCGUAGAUAUAUGGAAGAACACCAGUGGCGAAGGCGGCUGUCUGGUCUGCAACUGACGCUGAGGCUCGAAAGCAUGGGUAGCGAACAGGAUUAGAUACCCUGGUAGUCCAUGCCGUAAACGAUGAGUGCUAGGUGUUGGAGGGUUUCCGCCCUUCAGUGCCGCAGCUAACGCAUUAAGCACUCCGCCUGGGGAGUACGACCGCAAGGUUGAAACUCAAAGGAAUUGACGGGGGCCCGCACAAGCGGUGGAGCAUGUGGUUUAAUUCGAAGCUACGCGAAGAACCUUACCAGGUCUUGACAUCUUGCGCCACCCUAGAAAAUAGGGCGUUUCCUUCGGGAACGCAAUGACAGGUGGGUGCAUGGUCGUCGUCAGCUCGUGUCGUGAGAAUGUU